This 398-nucleotide long non-coding RNA is filed under the name Elaeis guineensis (African oil palm). RNAcentral's name for it is "long non-coding RNA (EGUI_LNC001883)". Lineage: Eukaryota; Viridiplantae; Streptophyta; Magnoliopsida; Arecales; Arecaceae. The record is from RNAcentral.
GGAGGUACUGAAAACUUUCAGAUGCUUGGCCUCUACUUCUCUCACCACUUUGAGACCAGAAAGCAAAGCUAAGUAUUCUGCAUCGCUGUUAGUGGUCGAAAAUUCAAAGCACAAAGCAUAUCCCACCACGUCUACUUCUGGACUAGUUAAGAUGAGCCUAGCCCCUGCUCCUACCGCAUUUGAUGAGCCGUCGACAUAUAGUGUCCACAGCUCUUUCAGGUCCGAUCCUAUAUGUGCCUCUUCAAUUCUUGAGCUUUCUCAAGCUUUCAAGACUUCUACAGCUUCUAAGCUUUUUCCAUCCAAAAUGGUGCAUUCAAGGAUAAAGUCUGUCAGUACCUAGACCUUGAUGGAAGGCCUCAGAUGGUACUGCACAUCCAAUUCAGCAAGUUUCAAAGCCC